AUCAUUUAAUGCGGCGAAGCAAACCUUUGGCACCCUGCACUUCAUUACUGGACACCACUCUCAACUCUUAACUGAAUCCUGAAUCCUCUGAAGACACUGGAUCCGACUUGGCCCUUUUCAAUGGAUUUGUCUCCUCCUGUUAGAAUGACACCCCAUGAAAAGAGGGACCUGGUCUGCCUGUUUGUCGUGCCCGGAAAACAGCACUCAGCUCAAAGCAGGAGUAUAACUAAUGGCUGUAACGUAUAUUGUCCAUCUCCUAGAAUAAACGAGACUAAAGUGAUUUUUGAGCCUUUUCAUUCCAGAAAUGGAAUGGAGAAUUGAUUUCCAUACAACAGAUUCGUGUGGAAAUAAAUCACUCAACGGUCAGGUUUCUGUAGAACGAGUGAAUGAAUGAAUGAACGAAUGAACGAAAUUAACCGAGGAACGUGGCUUCUUAGAGGUAUCUGGUUUUGACGCCCCGAGUAUCAGAGCCAAAUUUCCAGUUUUGCUUAGUAACUUCUGGGUUACCUUUGAAGGUGAUAAAAAGAAAAAGAAAAUGAUUAAAUAAAACA
Molecule: long non-coding RNA, 551 nt
Organism: Manis javanica (Malayan pangolin)
Lineage: Eukaryota; Metazoa; Chordata; Mammalia; Pholidota; Manidae
Source: RefSeq, a predicted model, not a curated record